This 1012-nucleotide ribosomal RNA is filed under the name uncultured bacterium. RNAcentral's name for it is "bacterial SSU rRNA". It matches the Rfam family "Bacterial small subunit ribosomal RNA", at positions 51 to 1066 of the family's 1533-position model. The record is from RNAcentral.
AUACAUGCAAGUCGAGGGGCAGCACGGUAGCAAUACUGGUGGCGACCGGCGCACGGGUGCGUAACGCGUAUGCAACCUACCCUUUACAGGGGGAUAGCCCGGAGAAAUCCGGAUUAAUACCCCAUAGUACCAUAGAUUGGCAUCUUUUUAUGGUUAAAGAUUCAUCGGUAAAGGAUGGGCAUGCGUCCGAUUAGUUAGUUGGUGAGGUAAUGGCUCACCAAGACUUUGAUCGGUAGGGGGUCUGAGAGGAUGAUCCCCCACACUGGUACUGAGAUACGGACCAGACUCCUACGGGAGGCAGCAGUAGGGAAUAUUGGUCAAUGGACGAGAGUCUGAACCAGCCAUGCCGCGUGCAGGAUGAAGGCCUUCUGGGUUGUAAACUGCUUUUGACGGGGAACAAAAAGGCCAUGCGUGGCAAAUUGAGUGUACCCGUAGAAUAAGCACCGGCUAACUCCGUGCCAGCAGCCGCGGUAAUACGGAGGGUGCAAGCGUUGUCCGGAUUUAUUGGGUUUAAAGGGUGCGUAGGCGGCCAUAUAAGUCAGUGGUGAAAUACGGCAGCUCAACUGCCGAACUGCCAUUGAUACUGUGUGGCUUGAGUACAGUCGAGGUAGGCGGAAUUGAUGGUGUAGCGGUGAAAUGCAUAGAUACCAUCAAGAACACCGAUUGCGAAGGCAGCUUACUAGGCUGUAACUGACGCUGAGGCACGAAAGCGUGGGGAUCAAACAGGAUUAGAUACCCUGGUAGUCCACGCCGUAAACGAUGAUUACUCGAUGUGUGCGAUAGACAGUACGCGUCCAAGCGAAAGCGUUAAGUAAUCCACCUGGGGAGUACGGUCGCAAGACUGAAACUCAAAGGAAUUGACGGGGGUCCGCACAAGCGGUAGAGCAUGUGGUUUAAUUCGAUGAUACGCGAGGAACCUUACCUAGGCUAGAAUGUUAGGGAAUAAUCCGGAGACGGAUUAGUCAGCAAUGACCCGAAACAAGGUGCUGCAUGGCUGUCGUCAGCUCGUGCC